GCUCUUCAACAAUGGAAUCCUGUGAAUUACAAGAGUCGUCAUGAUAAGGAGGAAUUCAGGAUCACCUGGUACGACGGUUUGGCGAGCUAGCAUAUGUAAAAGUUUGAUGUUCAGGUGUAAUUUCUCAAGGUCGAUCUUUGUGAUGGUUGUCUACACUGUCUUUCUUCUUGUUCUGCCGCCAAGUUGCCACCGUUGCCACCGCCACCGCCGCCAACGGUUCUUCUGUUUGUGCCAGUUAUGAUCAUGUCCCUUCUGGUUUUUAUGGCCUUCAUUCCAUCGCAAAUGCCCUCGUUUUCUCCUUGAGAUCCUUUCUUCCUUUUUUUUUCCUGCUCAUGUACAUAUAUAAUUUUUUUUAAAAAUUUCUGUUAAUCAAGAACCGAGC
RNAcentral lists this unclassified non-coding RNA (382 nucleotides) under Hevea brasiliensis (rubber tree). Lineage: Eukaryota; Viridiplantae; Streptophyta; Magnoliopsida; Malpighiales; Euphorbiaceae. The record is from RNAcentral.